AUGCUUGCCUAGAAGGGCGGAGCCGCCAUGAUGAAGGCUGAUCCCCAGGGCAAUGUGCAUCCAUUGCACUCCAGCUGUGCCGACCCCUGAAAUGGCUCCGCACUCUGGAAACUCGGUUUUGUAAUUUGUGGUAGUGGGGGAGUAUGUUCCCACCUUCUCCUG
Onychomys torridus (southern grasshopper mouse) is the source of this 162-nucleotide small nuclear RNA. RefSeq annotates it as U1 spliceosomal RNA. The record is from RefSeq and is a predicted model, not a curated record. NCBI's taxonomy places the organism in Eukaryota, Metazoa, Chordata, Mammalia, Rodentia, Cricetidae. The transcript has a single exon.